RNAcentral lists this long non-coding RNA (1072 nucleotides) under Heterocephalus glaber (naked mole-rat). Its description in RNAcentral is "lncRNA (ENSHGLG00000039659.1)". Lineage: Eukaryota; Metazoa; Chordata; Mammalia; Rodentia; Bathyergidae. The record is from RNAcentral.
UUUUUUUUGAAACAUAAAGAACCUGUUUUAUUUUUUUCCAAAUACAGAUACAGAAGUGUGCGUGUUUUGCAAAUAUUGCUUCAAAGCAACAUUUCUGUUCUAAUAGCGCAUAAACAUAGAUGUGUAUCCACAGUGCAAUGUUGGCUCAUCAAGGAUCCACCUUGCAUACUUAUCACUUAAGCAAAAUGAUUAGUCAAACCAAAACAUUUUGUCAAGGCAAUUUUUAUAGGUGGAUAGUUUUUCUCAGACAAAAAACUUAGGUAGUGCACAUAUUUCUAAAUGGUAUCAGCAAUGUUUGCAAAUAACAGUUUCCAGUGCUCCAACGUGGGGUUAAUUCACUUUGACCCAGAAAGUGAGGAUGGAGCCCCUCAACAUGGCUUUAAAUUAGGGAAACACACUGAGGUUAUCAGAACUUGGGGAGUCUUCCUGCCUCCCUAAGAACAAAAGUCGUAAUGAGUCAAAAAGGAUGAUUUCCUUUACAAAACCUAAAUGAUAAACUCAGUAAGAACCACCUGGCAAAAUUAGAGUAAUUCAGUUUCUGCUUUCCUCUUAGAACAAGAUACGAAAUUGACUACCUUAAAAGUUACAGCUUCCCCUAGUUGUGAUACUCAAAUGUAAUUUCAGGAAAGAAAACAAUAAUACAACAGUCAUCAUACCUGACAGUUGUGGCUAUAGAAAAUCAUACUGUUUCUUCCCUUUUCAGAAAAGCAUCACACAAUUCUGAUGCAGCUGUCUGAUAAAUUAUCUAGAGCACAGAUAGAUGCCAUACAUACUCCUUGAGUAUUUCUUCCUAUACCAGAAACACCAGUGUUAGCAAUGGCAAACAGCCUCUUGUAAUAGAAUUGGGUCCAUUUCAUUAUUAAAUGUUACAGCUGCAUGUAUUCCCACUCAUGGAUAAGCUAUACAGGUCAGCUUGUCCUAUAAUUCAUUUUAUAUCAAAUGGCAAACAAAUUUCUCAACAGCAUUCCCUCAAACAUUAGUACGGAGGCCUGAAUUCAUGACCAUAAUGACCUGUGCCUUAAAGCCUAACCAUUUUUUUUUUUCAUACUGAGGAUCAAACUCGGGACCUUGC